Molecule: transfer RNA, 64 nt
Filed under: Dipodomys ordii (Ord's kangaroo rat)
Lineage: Eukaryota; Metazoa; Chordata; Mammalia; Rodentia; Heteromyidae
Rfam family: tRNA
About the family: Transfer RNA (tRNA) molecules are approximately 80 nucleotides in length.
Source: Rfam by way of RNAcentral
GGUGGCUCAAUGGUAGAGUACUUACCUUGCAUGAAUGAGGCCCUGGGUUCGAUUCUCAGCACCA